AAAAGUGUAUAGAAUUUAGGUAGUAGUAGAUGUCUUAAAACUUAAAAAUUUUGGCGGUGUUUUAAUCUUAUCAGAGGAAUCUGUUUUAUAAUCGACAAUACACGACAAAUCUUGCUUGGGUAAAUGGUUUGUAUAUCGUUGUGGUAAUAAUAUUUUAUAGUUAUUGUUGAGGGUAAUUUUAUUUUUAAUAUCAGAUCAAGGUUCAGCUUAUACUUAAGAAAUAAAUGGGUUACAAUAUAAAGAUAUAUUUACGGAGUUUGUUUUUAUAUGAUAAAUGAAGGAGGAUUUGAAAGUAUUUUUAUAUUAAUAUGUUAGAUUGAAUUAGCUCUAAAACAUGC
This 338-nucleotide ribosomal RNA is filed under the name Centruroides tapachulaensis. RNAcentral's name for it is "partial 12S ribosomal RNA". The record is from RNAcentral. Lineage: Eukaryota; Metazoa; Arthropoda; Arachnida; Scorpiones; Buthidae.